AUAGGGGAGCCGUAGGGAAACCGAGUCUUAACUGGGCGAAUAAGUUGCAGGGUAUAGACCCGAAACCCGGUGAUCUAGCCAUGGGCAGGUUGAAGGUUGGGUAACACUAACUGGAGGACCGAACCGACUAAUGUUGAAAAAUUAGCGGAUGACUUGUGGCUGGGGGUGAAAGGCCAAUCAAACCGGGAGAUAGCUGGUUCUCCCCGAAAGCUAUUUAGGUAGCGCCUCGUGAACUCAUCUUCGGGGGUAGAGCACUGUUUCGACUAGGGGGUCAUCCCGACUUACCAACUCGAUGCAAACUACGAAUACCGAAGAAUGUUAUCACGGGAGACACACGGCGGGUGCUAACGUUCGUCGUGAAGAGGGAAACAACCCAGACCGCCAGCUAAGGUCCCAAAGUCAUAGUUAAGUGGGAAACGAAGUGGGAAGGCUCAGACAGCCAGGAUGUUGGCUUAGAAGCAGCCAUCAUUUAAAGAAAGCGUAAUAGCUCACUGGUCGAGUCGGCCUGCGCGGAAGAUGUAACGGGGCUAAACUAUGCACCGAAGCUGCGGCAGCGAUAUGUAAAUAUUGUUGGGUAGGGGAGCGUUCUGUAAGCCUGUGAAGGUGUGCUGUGAGGCAUGCUGGAGGUAUCAGAAGUGCGAAUGCUGACAUAAGUAACGAUAAUGCGGGUGAAAAACCCGCACGCCGGAAGACCAAGGGUUCCUGUCCAACGUUAAUCGGGGCAGGGUGAGUCGACCCCUAAGGCGAGGCAGAAAUGCGUAGUCGAUGGGAAACGGGUUAAUAUUCCCGUACUGGUGAUAAUUGCGAUGGGGGGACGGAGAAGGCUAGGCUAUCCGGGCGACGGUUGUCCCGGUUUAAGGAUGUAGGCAGGUGAAUUAGGCAAAUCCGGUUCACUACAUGCUGAGGUCCGAUGACGAGUCACUACGGUGAUGAAGUAGCUCAUGCCCCGCUUCCAGGAAAAGCCUCUAAGCUCUAGAUUAUCAUUAAUCGUACCCCAAACCGACACAGGUGGUCAGGUAGAGAAUACUCAGGCGCUUGAGAGAACUCGGGUGAAGGAACUAGGCAAAAUGGUGCCGUAACUUCGGGAGAAGGCACGCUGGCAUUAGGUGAAGUGAUUUACUCAUGGAGCUGAAGCCAGUCGCAGAUACCAGCUGGCUGCAACUGUUUAUUAAAAACACAGCACUGUGCAAACACGAAAGUGGACGUAUACGGUGUGACGCCUGCCCGGUGCUGGAAGGUUAAUUGAUGGGGUUAUCCGUAAGGAGAAGCUCUUGAUCGAAGCCCCAGUAAACGGCGGCCGUAACUAUAACGGUCCUAAGGUAGCGAAAUUCCUUGUCGGGUAAGUUCCGACCUGCACGAAUGGCGUAAUGAUGGCCAGGCUGUCUCCACCCGAGACUCAGUGAAAUUGAACUCGCUGUGAAGAUGCAGUGUACCCGCGGCAAGACGGAAAGACCCCGUGAACCUUUACUAUAGCUUGACACUGAACAUUGAGCCUUGAUGUGUAGGAUAGGUGGGAGGCUU
RNAcentral lists this ribosomal RNA (1521 nucleotides) under Providencia rettgeri. RNAcentral's name for it is "partial 23S ribosomal RNA". It matches the Rfam family "Bacterial large subunit ribosomal RNA", at positions 657 to 2157 of the family's 2925-position model. Lineage: Bacteria; Pseudomonadati; Pseudomonadota; Gammaproteobacteria; Enterobacterales; Morganellaceae. The record is from RNAcentral.